RNAcentral lists this transfer RNA (76 nucleotides) under Acidobacteriota bacterium. RNAcentral describes it as "Acidobacteria bacterium (wastewater metagenome) tRNA-Lys". It matches the Rfam family "tRNA". From Rfam's summary of the family: Transfer RNA (tRNA) molecules are approximately 80 nucleotides in length. Their secondary structure includes four short double-helical elements and three loops (D, anti-codon, and T loops). Further hydrogen bonds mediate the characteristic L-shaped molecular structure. tRNAs have two regions of fundamental functional importance: the anti-codon, which is responsible for specific mRNA codon recognition, and the 3' end, to which the tRNAs corresponding amino acid is attached (by aminoacyl-tRNA synthetases). tRNAs cope with the degeneracy of the genetic code in two manners: having more than one tRNA (with a specific anti-codon) for a particular amino acid; and 'wobble' base-pairing, i.e. permitting non-standard base-pairing at the 3rd anti-codon position. The record is from RNAcentral. Lineage: Bacteria; Pseudomonadati; Acidobacteriota.
GGGCCGUUAGCUCAGCCGGUAGAGCAGCGGACUUUUAAUCCGCGGGUCGCUGGUUCGAAUCCAGCACGGCUCACCA